UACAGAGGGUGCAAGCGUUAAUCGGAUUUACUGGGCGUAAAGCGUGCGUAGGCGGUUCAUUAAGUCGGUUGUGAAAUCCCUGGGCUUAACCUGGGAACUGCAGUCGAUACUGGUGAACUAGAAUGCGGUAGAGGGUGGCGGAACUCCGGGUGUAGCGGUGAAAUGCGUAGAUAUCCGGAAGAACACCAGUGGCGAAGGCGGCUCACUGGCCCGUUACCGACGCUCAGGCGCGACAGCGUGGGGAGCAAACAGG
RNAcentral lists this ribosomal RNA (253 nucleotides) under uncultured bacterium. RNAcentral's name for it is "partial 16S ribosomal RNA". It matches the Rfam family "Bacterial small subunit ribosomal RNA", at positions 524 to 776 of the family's 1533-position model. The record is from RNAcentral.